RNAcentral lists this ribosomal RNA (1147 nucleotides) under Staphylococcus aureus 53180-1. RNAcentral describes it as "bacterial SSU rRNA". It matches the Rfam family "Bacterial small subunit ribosomal RNA", at positions 8 to 1136 of the family's 1533-position model. The record is from RNAcentral. RNAcentral also lists the same sequence under 2 other names. Lineage: Bacteria; Bacillati; Bacillota; Bacilli; Caryophanales; Staphylococcaceae.
AGAGUUUGAUCCUGGCUCAGGAUGAACGCUGGCGGCGUGCCUAAUACAUGCAAGUCGAGCGAACGGACGAGAAGCUUGCUUCUCUGAUGUUAGCGGCGGACGGGUGAGUAACACGUGGAUAACCUACCUAUAAGACUGGGAUAACUUCGGGAAACCGGAGCUAAUACCGGAUAAUAUUUUGAACCGCAUGGUUCAAAAGUGAAAGACGGUCUUGCUGUCACUUAUAGAUGGAUCCGCGCUGCAUUAGCUAGUUGGUAAGGUAACGGCUUACCAAGGCAACGAUGCAUAGCCGACCUGAGAGGGUGAUCGGCCACACUGGAACUGAGACACGGUCCAGACUCCUACGGGAGGCAGCAGUAGGGAAUCUUCCGCAAUGGGCGAAAGCCUGACGGAGCAACGCCGCGUGAGUGAUGAAGGUCUUCGGAUCGUAAAACUCUGUUAUUAGGGAAGAACAUAUGUGUAAGUAACUGUGCACAUCUUGACGGUACCUAAUCAGAAAGCCACGGCUAACUACGUGCCAGCAGCCGCGGUAAUACGUAGGUGGCAAGCGUUAUCCGGAAUUAUUGGGCGUAAAGCGCGCGUAGGCGGUUUUUUAAGUCUGAUGUGAAAGCCCACGGCUCAACCGUGGAGGGUCAUUGGAAACUGGAAAACUUGAGUGCAGAAGAGGAAAGUGGAAUUCCAUGUGUAGCGGUGAAAUGCGCAGAGAUAUGGAGGAACACCAGUGGCGAAGGCGACUUUCUGGUCUGUAACUGACGCUGAUGUGCGAAAGCGUGGGGAUCAAACAGGAUUAGAUACCCUGGUAGUCCACGCCGUAAACGAUGAGUGCUAAGUGUUAGGGGGUUUCCGCCCCUUAGUGCUGCAGCUAACGCAUUAAGCACUCCGCCUGGGGAGUACGACCGCAAGGUUGAAACUCAAAGGAAUUGACGGGGACCCGCACAAGCGGUGGAGCAUGUGGUUUAAUUCGAAGCAACGCGAAGAACCUUACCAAAUCUUGACAUCCUUUGACAACUCUAGAGAUAGAGCCUUCCCCUUCGGGGGACAAAGUGACAGGUGGUGCAUGGUUGUCGUCAGCUCGUGUCGUGAGAUGUUGGGUUAAGUCCCGCAACGAGCGCAACCCUUAAGCUUAGUUGCCAUCAUUAAGUUGGGC